CACGGAGUUAGCCGGGGCUUCUUUACCGGCUACAGUCAUCAUCUUCACCGGCGAAAGAGUUUUACAACCCUAAGGCCUUCUUCACUCACGCGGCAUUGCUGGAUCAGGGUUUCCCCCAUUGUCCAAUAUUCCC
Molecule: ribosomal RNA, 133 nt
Filed under: uncultured bacterium
Lineage: Bacteria
Description: partial 16S ribosomal RNA
Source: RNAcentral